Molecule: non-coding RNA, 27 nt
Filed under: Homo sapiens (human)
Lineage: Eukaryota; Metazoa; Chordata; Mammalia; Primates; Hominidae
Source: RNAcentral
UGGUGCAGAGAGAAAUGGAAGAGAAGA